UCGGGAAUAUUGCGCAAUGGAGGAAACUCUGACGCAGUGACGCCGCGUAUAGGAAGAAGGUUUUCGGAUUGUAAACUAUUGUCGUUAGGGAAGAUACAAGACAGUACCUAAGGAGGAAGCUCCGGCUAACUACGUGCCAGCAGCCGCGGUAAUACGUAGGGAGCAAGCGUUAUCCGGAUUUAUUGGGUGUAAAGGGUGCGUAGACGGGAAAACAAGUUAGUUGUGAAAUCCCUCGGCUUAACUGAGGAACUGCAACUAAAACUGUUUUCUUGAGUGUUGGAGAGGAAAGUGGAAUUCCUAGUGUAGCGGUGAAAUGCGUAGAUAUUAGGAGGAACACCGGUGGCGAA
This 347-nucleotide ribosomal RNA is filed under the name uncultured Acetivibrio sp. Its description in RNAcentral is "bacterial SSU rRNA". It matches the Rfam family "Bacterial small subunit ribosomal RNA", at positions 355 to 719 of the family's 1533-position model. Lineage: Bacteria; Bacillati; Bacillota; Clostridia; Acetivibrionales; Acetivibrionaceae. The record is from RNAcentral.